Gallus gallus (chicken) is the source of this 424-nucleotide long non-coding RNA. The record is from Ensembl. NCBI's taxonomy places the organism in Eukaryota, Metazoa, Chordata, Aves, Galliformes, Phasianidae.
CACGGAAAGGCCCCAUUAAUAGCACAGGCAGAGUAAAUCAGGAUGCUUCCAGAUGGCAAAGGGGGAAGGUUCUCAUGGGAAGACAGCCAUCCAGCCACACGCUCCAGAAAGCCGCCUGCUGUUGCGCAGUACAGGAAGCCACCGCACCGUGUGUGCUCCAGGCACGUCUCACCAACAACCCGUGCUUCUCCUGAGCUCCCAUCCUGCCCUAAGGAGCUUUAACCAACAGCCUGAAAGAAAUAUCCUGCAGCCCAGCCAUGUAACAGCACACAGUGUCAUUGGGAGAGUACUUCCCUUUCCAUGCAGCUGCUGCGGUCUCUCUUUUGUUACUGGAAGCACUGCUGUGCCUUAUGAGCCAUAGUUCAUCACUGGAAAUGAAUCUGGAGUUACAACAAAACCAAAAGUCGGAGUCAUGAGUCAAACG